Molecule: ribosomal RNA, 301 nt
Filed under: uncultured bacterium
Lineage: Bacteria
Description: partial 16S ribosomal RNA
Rfam family: Bacterial small subunit ribosomal RNA
Source: RNAcentral
CAGCAGCCGCGGUAAUACAGAGGGUGCAAGCGUUAAUCGGAAUUACUGGGCGUAAAGCGCGCGUAGGUGGUUUGUUAAGUCGGAUGUGAAAUCCCUGAGCUUAACUUAGGAAUUGCAUUCGAUACUGGGAAGCUAGAGUAUGGGAGAGGAUGGUAGAAUUCCAGGUGUAGCGGUGAAAUGCGUAGAGAUCUGGAGGAAUACCGAUGGCGAAGGCAGCCAUCUGGCCUAAUACUGACGCUGAGGUACGAAAGCAUGGGGAGCAAACAGGAUUAGAUACCCGCGUAGUCCCUGUCUCUUAUAC